RNAcentral lists this ribosomal RNA (253 nucleotides) under uncultured Staphylococcus sp. RNAcentral's name for it is "partial 16S ribosomal RNA". It matches the Rfam family "Bacterial small subunit ribosomal RNA", at positions 109 to 355 of the family's 1533-position model. The record is from RNAcentral. Lineage: Bacteria; Bacillati; Bacillota; Bacilli; Caryophanales; Staphylococcaceae.
AGUAACACGUGGAUAACCUACCUAUAAGACUGGGAUAACUUCGGGAAACCGGAGCUAAUACCGGAUAAUAUAUUGAACCGCAUGGUUCAAUAGUGAAAGACGGUUUUGCUGUCACUUAUAGAUGGAUCCGNGCCGCAUUAGCUAGUUGGUAAGGUAACGGCUUACCAAGGCAACGAUGCGUAGCCGACCUGAGAGGGUGAUCGGCCACACUGGAACUGAGACACGGUCCAGACUCCUACGGGAGGCAGCAGCU